UGAGUAUAAUACUCGAUAGGUCUCGAUUGCUGGAAUGCAUGGAGAACACAGCUCCGGCGCCUAAGGAUGGGUCUGCGGCCUAUCAGGAAGUAGUGGGUGUAGCGUACCUACUAGCCUACGACGGGUACGGGUUGUGAGAGCAAGAGCCCGGACAUGGAUUCUGAGACACGAAUCCAGGCCCUACGGGGUGCAGCAGGCGCGAAAACUUUACAAUGCUGGCAACAGCGAUAAGGGAACCUCGAGUGCCAGGUUACAAAUCUGGCUGUCGAGAUGCCUAAAAAGCAUUUCAUAGCAAGGGCCGGGCAAGACCGGGGCCAGCCGCCGCGGUAACACCGGCGGCUCGAGUGGUAACCGUUAUUAUUGGGUCUAAAGGGUCUGUAGCCGGCCGGAUAAGUCUCUUGAGAAAUCUGGCAGCUUAACUGUCAGGCUUUCAGGAGAUACUGUCUGGCUCGAGGCCGGGAGAGGUGAGAGGUACUUCAGGGGUAGGGGUGAAAUCUUGUAAUCCUUGAAGGACCACCAGUGGCGAAGGCGUCUCACCAGAACGGACCUGACGGCAAGGGACGAAAGCUAGGGGCACGAACCGGAUUAGAUACCCGGGUAGUCCUAGCCGUAAACGAUACUCGCUAGGUGUCGGCCACGGUGCGACCGUUGUCGGUGCCGUAAGGAAGCCGUGAAGCGAGCCACCUGGCAAGUACGGCCGCGAGGCUGAAACUUAAAGGAAUUGGCGGGGG
This 731-nucleotide ribosomal RNA is filed under the name uncultured archaeon. RNAcentral describes it as "bacterial SSU rRNA". It matches the Rfam family "Archaeal small subunit ribosomal RNA", at positions 141 to 874 of the family's 1478-position model. The record is from RNAcentral.